AGUGAACGCUGGCGGUAGGCCUAACACAUGCAAGUCGAACGGCAGCACAGUAAGAGCUUGCUCUUACGGGUGGCGAGUGGCGGACGGGUGAGGAAUACAUCGGAAUCUACUUUUUCGUGGGGGAUAACGUAGGGGAACUUACGCUAAUACCGCAUACGACCUACGGGUGAAAGCAGGGGAUCUUCGGACCUUGCGCGAUUGAAUGAGCCGAUGUCGGAUUAGCUAGUUGGCGGGGUAAAGGCCCACCAAGGCGACGAUCCGUAGCUGGUCUGAGAGGAUGAUCAGCCACACUGGAACUGAGACACGGUCCAGACUCCUACGGGAGGCAGCAGUGGGGAAUAUUGGACAAUGGGCGCAAGCCUGAUCCAGCCAUACCGCGUAGGUGAAGAAGGCCUUCGGGUUGUAAAGCCCUUUUGUUGGGAAAGAAAAGCAGCAGGUUAAUACCCCGCUGUUCUGACGGUACCCAAAGAAUAAGCACCGGCUAACUUCGUG
RNAcentral lists this ribosomal RNA (492 nucleotides) under uncultured bacterium. RNAcentral's name for it is "partial 16S ribosomal RNA". It matches the Rfam family "Bacterial small subunit ribosomal RNA", at positions 29 to 507 of the family's 1533-position model. The record is from RNAcentral.